GGACCCACCCCCUGCUCCAGUCGCUAUCGGAGGCCGCGCGGGUGGCUGAGCAGCGGCCUGGUGCGCUCGCUUAGCGGGCGACGGAAUCAGACGGACGUGGACGCCCCCGGAGUGGAAGCCGAAGCAGGAGUUGUUGUUGCUGAGGGGCUGCCGCAGCCGCCGCGAGCCUCCGGACAGACGCCAGAGCGAGGAGGGCGCUACGCGCUUGGCAAGAUGACCCAGUUCCUGCCGCCCAACCUUCU
Molecule: long non-coding RNA, 242 nt
Filed under: Homo sapiens (human)
Lineage: Eukaryota; Metazoa; Chordata; Mammalia; Primates; Hominidae
Description: long non-coding RNA NONHSAT067151.2
Source: RNAcentral